Molecule: ribosomal RNA, 495 nt
Filed under: uncultured bacterium
Lineage: Bacteria
Description: partial 16S ribosomal RNA
Rfam family: Bacterial small subunit ribosomal RNA
Source: RNAcentral
AUGCACGCUGGCGGCGUGCCUCAUCCCUGCCAGUCGCGCGAACAGACGAGGAGCUUGCUCCUCUGACGUUAGCGGCGGACGGGUGAGUAACACGUGGAUAACCUACCUAUAAGACUGGGAUAACUUCGGGAAACCGGAGCUAAUACCGGAUAAUAUAUUGAACCGCAUGGUUCAAUAGUGAAAGACGGUUUUGCUGUCACUUAUAGAUGGAUCCGCGCCGCAUUAGCUAGUUGGUAAGGUAACGGCUUACCAAGGCGACGAUGCGUAGCCGACCUGAGAGGGUGAUCGGCCACACUGGAACUGAGACACGGUCCAGACUCCUACGGGAGGCAGCAGUAGGGAAUCUUCCGCAAGGGGCGAAAGCCUGACGGAGCAACGCCGCGUGAGUGAUGAAGGUCUGCGGAUCGUAAAACUCUGUUAUUAGGGAAGAACAAAUGUGUAAGUAACUAUGCACGUCUUGACGGUACCUAAGCAGAAAGCCACGGCUAACUACGU